RNAcentral lists this ribosomal RNA (509 nucleotides) under Apis cerana (Asiatic honeybee). Its description in RNAcentral is "partial 16S ribosomal RNA". The stretch from base 385 to 509 matches the Rfam family "Bacterial large subunit ribosomal RNA", at positions 2473 to 2597 of the family's 2925-position model. The record is from RNAcentral. Lineage: Eukaryota; Metazoa; Arthropoda; Insecta; Hymenoptera; Apidae.
GGCCUAUUGAUUAUAAUUUUAGGUCGAUCUGCUCCAUGAAAUAAAUUUAAAUAGCUGCAGUAUAUUGACUGUACAAAGGUAGCAUAAUAAAUUGUCUUUUAAUUGAAGAAUUGAAUGAAUGAAUUGAUGAAAUAACAACUGUCUCUAUUUUAUAUAAUGAAUUUAAAUUUUUAGUAAAAAUUCUAAAAUUUAAUUAUGGGACGAUAAGACCCUAUAGAAUUUUAUUUAAUAUAAUUAUUUAUUUAAAUUAUUUUUGAAUAUAUAAUUAAUUUAAAUUUGAUUGGGAGGAUUGGUAAAUAUAAAUAACUUUAUCUAAUAAUUAAUUUUAAUGAAAAGAUUUAUUUUGACUUAUAAUUUAUGAUUAAAAGAAUAAAUUACCUUAGGGAUAACAGCGUAAUAUCUUUUGAUAGACCACAUUGAUAAAGAUGUUUGCGACCUCGAUGUUGAAUUAAGAGAAAAGUUAAACGCAGGAGUUUAAAAUUUUAAGUCUGUUCGACUUUUAAAAUCUU